GCUUCGGGCGCCCGGCCGCUGGCUGCGCUAGGACCCACGGCCGCCGGCCGCCGAGGGGCACCGGGAAGGGAGGAGCGGGCGCCGGCCGGGGCGCAGCGCGGCAUGCAGCGGCGGGCUCCUGCGCCCGCGUGAGGCUGUCGGCCCCGCGCCCCGCCAUGGCUGGGAAGGACAGUGGCAACCUGAAGACGGUGAGGCUGUGGCGGGACGCCGCCCUGCGCGCCAGGAAGCUGCGGAGCAACCUGCGCCAGCUCACGCUCAGCGCGGCCGGGGGCGGCGCCGACCCGCUCGAGUCCCCCGACGCCCCCCAGCUCGUGCUGCCGGCCAACAUCGGGGACAUUGAGGUGCUGAACCUGGGGAACAACGGCCUGGAGGAGGUGCCCGAGGGGCUGGGGUCGGCGCUGGGCAGCCUGCGCGUCCUGGUACUGCGCAGGAACCGCUUUGCCCGGCUGCCCCCGGCCGUGGCCGAGCUCGGCCACCACCUCACCGAGCUGGACGUGAGCCACAACCGGCUGGCCGCCCUGGGAGCGGAGGUGGUGAGCGCCCUGCGGGAGCUGCGCAAGCUCAACCUCAGCCACAACCAGCUGCCUGCGCUGCCCGCCCAGCUGGGCUCCCUCGCGCACCUGGAGGAGUUGGACGUCAGCUUUAACCGGCUGGCGCACCUGCCCGACUCGCUGGCUUGCCUCCACCGCCUGCGCACCCUGGACGUGGACCACAACCAGCUUAGCGCCUUCCCCCGGCAGCUGCUGCAGCUGGCAGCCCUGGAGGAACUGGACGUGUCCAGCAACCGGCUGCGAGGCCUACCUGAGGAUAUCAGCGCCCUGAGCGCCCUCAAGAUCCUGUGGCUGAGCGGCGCCGAGCUGGGCACCUUGCCCAGCGGCUUCUGCGAGCUGGCCAGUUUGGAGAGCCUCAUGCUGGACAGCAACGGGCUUCAGGCUCUGCCCGCCCAGUUCAGCCGGCUGCAAAGGCUCAAAAUGCUCAACCUCUCCUCCAACCUCUUUGAGGAGUUCCCUGCCGCGCUGCUGCCCCUGGCUGGCCUGGAGGAGCUCUACCUGAGCCGCAACCAGCUCACCUCGGUGCCAUCCCUGAUCUCGGGCCUGAGCCGGCUGCUCACUCUGUGGCUGGAUAACAACCGCAUCCGCUACCUGCCCGACUCCAUCGUGGAGCUGACCGGCCUGGAGGAGCUGGUGCUGCAGGGCAAUCAGAUCGCUGUGCUGCCGGACAACUUUGGCCAGCUCUCCAGGGUGGGCCUGUGGAAGAUCAAGGACAACCCCCUGAUCCAGCCCCCCUACGAGGUCUGCAUGAAGGGGAUCCCCUACAUCGCGGCCUACCAGAAGGAGCUGGCGCAUUCCCAGCCGGCGGUGCAGCCCCGCCUCAAACUGCUCCUGUUGGGCCACAAGGCUGCAGGCAAGACCUUGCUCCGCCAUGGCCUCACGGAGGAGCGAGUGGAGGGCGGCCAGGGAGGAGGGGACCAGGAGAAGAGCUGCCCACCUGCGCCUCCGCAGGGGAGCAAGGGCAUCGAAGUGACCAGCUGGACGGCCGAUGCUUCCCGGGGCCUGCGCUUCAUCGUGUAUGACUUGGCCGGGGACGAAAGUUACGAGGUGAUCCAGCCCUUCUUCCUCUCCCCGGGGGCCCUGUACGUGCUGGUGGUCAACUUGGCCACCUAUGAGCCGCGCCGCUUUCCCAGCACCGUGGGCUCCUUCCUGCACCGGGUGGGGGCGCGGGUGCCUCACGCCGUGGUGUGCAUCGUGGGCACGCACGCGGACCUGUGCGGGGAGCGGGAACUGGAGGAGAAGUGCCUGGACAUCCACCGGCAGAUCGCCCUGCAGGAGAAGCGCGAUGCCGAGGGGCUGAGCCGUCUGGCCCGGGUGGUGGACGAGGCCCUGGCCCGGGACUUCGAGCUGCGCUCGGCCAGCCCCCACGCGGCCUACUACGGCGUGUCCGACAAGAACCUGCGGCGGCGCAAGGCCCAUUUCCAGUACCUGCUCAACCACCGGCUGCAGAUCCUCUCCCCGGUGCUGCCGGUGAGCUGCAGGGACCCCCACCAGUUGCAGCGCCUACGGGACAAGCUGCUCUCGGUGGCCGAGCACCGAGAAAUCUUCCCCAACUUGCAUCGCGUCCUGCCUCGGUCCUGGCAGGUGCUGGAGGAGCUGCACUUCCAGCCACCGCAGGCGCAACGACUUUGGCUGAGCUGGUGGGACUCUGCGCGCCUGGGCUUGCAGGCGGGGCUGACCGAGGACCGGCUGCAGAGCGCCCUCUCCUACCUGCACGAGAGCGGCAAGCUGCUCUACUUCGAAGACAGCCCAGCCCUCAAGGAGCACGUCUUCCACAACCUCACCCGCCUCAUCGACAUCCUCAAUGUCUUCUUCCAGCGGGAUGCUUCCCUGCUGUUGCACAAACUGCUGCUGGGCGCCCGUGGAGAGGGCGAGGGUGAGGCAGACGGCUCCCCCGCCGGGGCGCUGCCCACGCCCGGCCAGGACCUGCUGCGGGCCACCCAGCUCCAUCAUUACGUGGAGGGCUUCCUGCUGCACGGGCUCUUGCCAGCCCACGUCAUUCGGUUGCUGCUCAAGCCUCAUGUCCAGGCCCAGCAGGAUUUGCAGCUGCUGCUGGAGUUGCUGGAGAAGAUGGGACUCUGUUACUGCCUCAAUAAACCCAAGGGGAAGCCUCUGAAUGGGUCCACGGCCUGGUACAAGUUCCCCUGCUACGUGCAGAAUGAGGUGCCCCACGCAGAAGCCUGGAUUAAUGGGACCAACCUAGCCGGGCAGUCUUUUGUGGCGGAGCAACUGCAGAUUGAAUAUAGUUUCCCCUUUACCUUUCCACCGGGCUUGUUUGCGCGCUACAGCGUGCAGAUCAACAGCCAUGUGGUGCACAGAUCGGAUGGCAAAUUUCAGAUCUUUGCGUACAGAGGGAAAGUGCCCGUGGUGGUGAGUUACAGACCUGCCAAGGGGGUCCUGCAGCCAGACACCCUGUCCAUUGCCAGCCAUGCCUCGUUGCCCAACAUAUGGACCGCAUGGCAAGCCAUAACCCCGUUGGUGGAGGAGCUCAACGUACUGCUGCAGGAGUGGCCCGGUCUGCACUACACCGUGCACAUCCUCUGUUCUAAGUGCCUUAAGAGAGGGUCGCCCAAUCCGCACGCUUUCCCAGGGGAGUUGCUGAGUCAGCCCAGACCGGAAGGAGUGGCAGAGAUCAUUUGCCCCAAGAACGGCAGCGAGCGAGUGAAUGUUGCCUUGGUUUACCCACCGACGCCGACUGUGAUCAGCCCCUGUUCCAAGUAUCUUCAUACUUUCUUGGAAAAUUAAGUGGAAAAGCUAGUGCUUCUUUCCCUUAUGCCACCAUUUUUACUGUUCCCAAUCUGUGACUUUAGGAGCACCUGUGUUUAAGGGAAGAACGUUGGUGAGAAGCACAGAAACCAGUGACUCUUGUGGCUGUGGAAUUUCUGCAGAGCAGAGAGCGGAGCAGGACGUCCCGGGCCCACCGGCUGGCCCUCCACACUCCCCAGCUUGUGCCGUGAACUUGAAGGAAGCGGUGUUCCGGACGGGGAGGGAGCAGGGGAAGGGUGGGAGGAGCUAUGGAGCAAAUGUUUUACAACCUGAACCUCAGAACUGUGAUCCUCCAAGGAGAGCACUACUUGAAGACAAGAAAAAAAAAAGUCGAAUGGCUUCUCAGGGAUUUUGUUUUCCAUGUACAUAAAAGCCAUAGUUUCCGUACAGGUGGCAGUAUGUCGAGCACUCAAAUUUCAGUUCUGUUCAAUGUGAAAGAAGGAUCGACUGAUGUUCAUCGCUGUUCCGUAACUAGUGUAAAAUAUGUAUAUGUUUAUCUUUAUUUUUAUAAUAUGCAAAUGCAUUUAAAUUUAUACAGUUUGAAGCUUCUAGCGUUAGUUGACACUGGGUGCAAUACUUUGCAUGAGAACUGUGCCAAGAUGGGGCCCAUCUCUUUAUUUUCCUGCACCGGCAAGUCUUGUUUGUUCUUCUUUUAUUCUUUAAUCCGCCUUCUCAGAUUCAGAAAAAGAAAACAGAUGUCUGUCUAGGAGCCCAGGGUCCGGAGAGAUUGCCAGCAAUGAGCAAGGGCCUGCCAUGCGCGUCUCAGACAUUGUCCCCACCCUGCCCAUGAGUCACCAGGGGUCCCCUCCCUUUCCUCACACAGCCUGAGUGCCUGGACACCCUGAGUCCUUUCAGUAACUUAAGAGGAUCGGGGAUCCAUUCUGGAUCGUGCCAAGAGCUCUAUUGUUAAGUCCCCAUCUUGGCUAGAACAGUCUGAGAUGUAGCACAGCACUUUGAGGGCCCCCACAUCUGGCCAGCAGACCUUCGGAGAGGAGGCUGCCUAAUUGGAGAGCGGCAUUGCUCCUGAGUUACUGGUACAUACAGAGCCUCUUGUUGGACCAGUAAGAUCCUGGUUUUAACAUCUCUAUAAGGUACAGCUUGCAAAGCAAACCAAGCAAUUCACUCGCUCUCCUACUCCUAAUUGGAGCCAACCAGUAGUGCAGUAGUAACACCUGCUUUGGAGAAUGUGUUUACAUCUGCCUCCUCCCCAAGGGGAUCAAAAAAAAAAAAAACCUCACAGUUUCUCAACAGUGCCAGGCAAGGAAAGUGAGUCAGCUGCUAUUACUCUUCCACUUCUUUCAGAAAGUAUUGACUCUUGGGAUGCCAAUGUGUACAAAAAGUGUCUCAGAGAAAUAAACAAGUGGCCGCACUGCAAGAAAUCACAGGCUGUUUGCAUGCUGCACCCCCGGGGGGCCCACCGCCCCGUCUCCUGGAUGGCCAGUGGAGUGCAUCUGAUUUCUCUCAACCAUAAAAUCAAUGGGAGCAGACGAUGUUUGCGUUUUGUAACACUAGAAUGCGGCACAUCAAGCUUGGGGUUUCGUUUACUUUUUGAACACAGUCACACAAUUACUCUGGUUGAUCCUUUUGUCACAGUUCUCGUGUGUGUGUGUGUGUGUGGGUGUGUGUAAGCUGAAUGUUAACAUUUAAUUGCUUCAUGAACUGUUGAAUUGUUGGGCAAUAAAAGUUAAUCAAUUGGCAUGAGACAGUGUCUCCACUGUCCGAUGAACCAACUUUGACCAGUCUUCUUAAAGAAAAAGACUCUGCAGUGUUGACUUUGGGCUAACUUCCCAGGGGGCCGUAGAAAAUGGAAGAAGCGCUCCUUUGGGCGACACAUCCCGCAGAGUGUCUGCUCCUCUCAUGAACGUAGAUGCCCACAUUCCUAAUAUCUGCUGAUUUGUGACAAGCGAUGUUUUGUGCUGUCAUCUGAACCCUAGAGAAGCAGUGUAAGAAGAAACCUUGGCGUCACAUGGUUCUAGCGAAAGGGUGGCCGUGGCGGAGGGUCCUGUGACCACGGAGAAGCUCCAGGAAAGCAUGAGAACUUGCUUUGGGGGUCGGGGAGGGGCGGGGUCCAGAAACAUUGUGAUUGUGCUCUACAGCAAUUUCUGCCGUCCAUGCAGGAAAUUCCAUUCCCUUUCAACACCUGGGAAGCCAGCGGCCCGCCGAGGCUGACAGCCCAUCCACUAAGCACAAGAGGAAUUUUUUUCUUCCCAACCAAGGAGUCCCUGGCCUCGCAAACAGAUGCCCUCCAAGUUUAUUAUGGUUUCUAUUCCUGAAACUCGUGGUAUCAAAACCACUUCCUGGAAUUGUAAAAGCGUUGCCAGAACAAAUGUUUUUCCCCCUUCUAAGAAAAAAAAAAAUGACAGUGCUCAUAAUUGACACUUGUACGUUGGACUCUCUUUGAAUGAAUAGAAAGGAAAGGGUUUGCUGUACUUCCUGGCGGAGUGUGUGUGGUUUUCCAUGCCACGGUUUGUGAACUGUAAUUGUGGUUUCCUACUUCAUUGUUGUAACCAGGCAGAAAUGAAAAAAACAAACAAAAAAAAAUUCAAUAAAAGUGCAAAGAAAUGGUUAAGCCAUUCUAA
RNA transcript from Lepus europaeus (European hare), 5896 nucleotides. It is a transcript of the gene named multifunctional ROCO family signaling regulator 1, with no coding region annotated. The record is from RefSeq and is a predicted model, not a curated record. The transcript has 4 exons. NCBI's taxonomy places the organism in Eukaryota, Metazoa, Chordata, Mammalia, Lagomorpha, Leporidae.